Molecule: ribosomal RNA, 812 nt
Filed under: Pseudomonas sp.
Lineage: Bacteria; Pseudomonadati; Pseudomonadota; Gammaproteobacteria; Pseudomonadales; Pseudomonadaceae
Description: bacterial SSU rRNA
Rfam family: Bacterial small subunit ribosomal RNA
Source: RNAcentral
GGKUGAKUAAUGCCYAGGAAUCUGCCUGGUAGUGGGGGAUAACGUUCGGAAACGAACGCUAAUACCGCAUACKUCCUACGGGAGAAAGCAGGGGACCUUCGGGCCUUGCGCUAUCAGAUGAGCCUAGGUCGGAUUAGCUAGUUGGUGAGGUAAUGGCUCACCAAGGCGACRAUCCGUAACUGGUCUGAGAGGAUGAUCAGUCACACUGGAACUGARACACGGUCCAGACUCCUACGGGAGGCAGCAGUGGGGAAUAUUGGACAAUGGGCGAAAGCCUGAUCCAGCCAUGCCGCGUGUGUGAARAAGGUCUUCGGAUUGUAAAGCACUUUAAGUUGGGAGGAAGGGCAGUUACCUAAUACGUGAUUGUUUUGACGUUACCGACAGAAUAAGCACCGGCUAACUCUGUGCCAGCAGCCGCGGUAAUACAGAGGGUGCAAGCGUUAAUCGGAAUUACUGGGCGUAAAGCGCGCGUAGGUGGUUUGUUAAGUUGGAUGUGAAAUCCCCGGGCUCAACCUGGGAACUGCAUUCAAAACUGACUGACUAGAGUAUGGUAGAGGGUGGUGGAAUUUCCUGUGUAGCGGUGAAAUGCGUAGAUAUAGGAAGGAACACCAGUGSCGAAGGCGACCACCUGGACUAAUACUGACACUGAGGUGCGAAAGCGUGGGGAGCAAACWGGAUUAGAUACCCUGGUAGUCCACGCCGUAAACAAUGUCAACUAGCCGUUGCAAGCCUUGAGCUUUUAUUGGCGCAGCUAACGCAUUAAGUUGACCGCCUGGGUAGUACGGCCGCAAGGWUAAUACUCAAAUGAAUUG